This 75-nucleotide transfer RNA is filed under the name Aeriscardovia sp. RNAcentral describes it as "tRNA-Leu". It matches the Rfam family "tRNA". Rfam says of the family: Transfer RNA (tRNA) molecules are approximately 80 nucleotides in length. Their secondary structure includes four short double-helical elements and three loops (D, anti-codon, and T loops). Lineage: Bacteria; Bacillati; Actinomycetota; Actinomycetes; Bifidobacteriales; Bifidobacteriaceae. The record is from RNAcentral.
GCCCACGUAGCCCAAUAGGCAGGAGGCAACUUGUUUAGAUCGAGUACAGUGCAUGUUCAAAUCAUGUCGUGGGCA